Molecule: ribosomal RNA, 253 nt
Filed under: uncultured bacterium
Lineage: Bacteria
Description: partial 16S ribosomal RNA
Rfam family: Bacterial small subunit ribosomal RNA
Source: RNAcentral
UACGUAGGGGGCUAGCGUUGUCCGGAAUCAUUGGGCGUAAAGCGCGUGUAGGCGGUCCGGUAAGUCCGCUGUGAAAGUCGAGGGCUCAACCCUCGAAUGCCGGUGGAUACUGUCGGGCUAGAGUGCGGAAGAGGCGAGUGGAAUUCCAGGUGUAGCGGUGAAAUGCGUAGAUAUCUGGAGGAACACCGGUGGCGAAGGCGGCAUCCUGGACCGACACUGACGCUGAGGCGCGAAAGCUAGGGGAGCAAACGGG